CUACGGGAGGCAGCAGUGGGGAAUUUUGGACAAUGGGCGAAAGCCUAAUCCAGCAAAGCCGCGUAUGUGAAGAAGGCCUUCGGGUUGUAAAGCACUUUUGUCUUGAAAGUUAUAAUCGUGGUUAAUCCGGGACGUUGGUAAA
RNAcentral lists this ribosomal RNA (142 nucleotides) under uncultured bacterium. Its description in RNAcentral is "partial 16S ribosomal RNA". It matches the Rfam family "Bacterial small subunit ribosomal RNA", at positions 339 to 479 of the family's 1533-position model. The record is from RNAcentral.